GACAGAGAAGGAGCUUGCUCCUUCGACGUUAGCGGCGGACGGGUGAGUAACACGUGGGCAACCUACCUUAUAGUUUGGGAUAACUCCGGGAAACCGGGGCUAAUACCGAAUAAUCUGUUUCACCUCAUGGUGAAACACUGAAAGACGGUUUCGGCUGUCGCUAUAGGAUGGGCCCGCGGCGCAUUAGCUAGUUGGUGAGGUAACGGCUCACCAAGGCGACGAUGCGUAGCCGACCUGAGAGGGUGAUCGGCCACACUGGGACUGAGACACGGCCCAGACUCYUACGGGAGGCAGCAGUAGGGAAUCUUCCACAAUGGGCGAAAGCCUGAUGGAGCAACGCCGCGUGAGUGAAGAAGGAUUUCGGUUCGUAAAACUCUGUUGUAAGGGAAGAACAAGUACAGUAGUAACUGGCUGUACCUUGACGGUACCUUAUUAGAAAGCCACGGCUAACUACGUGCCAGCAGCCGCGGUAAUACGUAGGUGGCAAGCGUUGUCCGGAAUUAUUGGGCGUAAAGCGCGCGCAGGUGGUUUCUUAAGUCUGAUGUGAAAGCCCACGGCUCAACCGUGGAGGGUCAUUGGAAACUGGGAGACUUGAGUGCAGAAGAGGAUAGUGGAAUUCCAAGUGUAGCGGUGAAAUGCGUAGAGAUUUGGAGGAACACCAGUGGCGAAGGCGACUAUCUGGUCUGUAACUGACACUGAGGCGCGAAAGCGUGGGGAGCAAACAGGAUUAGAUACCCUGGUAGUCCACGCCGUAAACGAUGAGUGCUAAGUGUUAGGGGGUUUCCGCCCCUUAGUGCUGCAGCUAACGCAUUAAGCACUCCGCCUGGGGAGUACGGUCGCAAGACUGAAACUCAAAGGAAUUGACGGGGGCCCGCACAAGCGGUGGAGCAUGUGGUUUAAUUCGAAGCAACGCGAAGAACCUUACCAGGUCUUGACAUCCCGUUGACCACUGUAGAGAUAUGGUUUCCCCUUCGGGGGCAACGGUGACAGGUGGUGCAUGGUUGUCGUCAGCUCGUGUCGUGAGAUGUUGGGUUAAGUCCCGCAACGAGCGCAACCCUUGAUCUUAGUUGCCAUCAUUUAGUUGGGCACUCUAAGGUGACUGCCGGUGACAAACCGGAGGAAGGUGGGGAUGACGUCAAA
This 1140-nucleotide ribosomal RNA is filed under the name Lysinibacillus sp. W2-2. Its description in RNAcentral is "bacterial SSU rRNA". It matches the Rfam family "Bacterial small subunit ribosomal RNA", at positions 68 to 1189 of the family's 1533-position model. Lineage: Bacteria; Bacillati; Bacillota; Bacilli; Caryophanales; Bacillaceae. The record is from RNAcentral.